GUCGUGAUUAGAUCGCACACGCAGAACUUUUGACCAAGUCAAGGGGGCAAUUGUUGUUUCCGUUCUAUACGGAUUUGCACAGCACCCACGGCCUACCCAUCAUCCCACCUUCGCAUGCCCAACGACACAGUUCAACUGUUUUCCACACACACACAGCUUAGAACAGAUCAGAGGAAGGACCCCACAUGGUAAUUCCCUGGGCAAGCGAACGAAGAUCCCUG
Scleropages formosus (Asian bonytongue) is the source of this 221-nucleotide long non-coding RNA. RefSeq lists it as uncharacterized. The transcript is spliced from 3 exons. Lineage: Eukaryota; Metazoa; Chordata; Actinopteri; Osteoglossiformes; Osteoglossidae. The record is from RefSeq and is a predicted model, not a curated record.